AGAAUCAACGCUGGCGGCGUGCCUAACACAUGCAAGUCGCACGAGAAAGGGGAGCAAUCCCUGAGUACAGUGGCGCACGGGUGAGUAACACGUGAAUAAUCUACCUCCGAGUGGGGAAUAACUGAGAGAAAUCUUAGCUAAUACCGCAUAAUACCCACGGGUCAAAGCAGCAAUGCGCUUGGAGAGGAGUUCGCGGCAGAUUAGUUAGUUGGCGGGGUAAUGGCCCACCAAGACGAUGAUCUGUAUCCGGCCUGAGAGGGCGCACGGACACACUGGAACUGAAACACGGUCCAGACUCCUACGGGAGGCAGCAGUGGGGAAUUUGCGCAAUGGGGGAAACCCUGACGCAGCAACGCCGCGUGGAGGAUGAAGCCCCUUGGGGUGUAAACUCCUUUCGAUCGGGAAGAUAAUGACGGUACCGAUAUAAGAAGCCCCGGCUAACUUCGUCGCCAGCAGCCGC
This 460-nucleotide ribosomal RNA is filed under the name uncultured bacterium. Its description in RNAcentral is "SSU rRNA". It matches the Rfam family "Bacterial small subunit ribosomal RNA", at positions 26 to 518 of the family's 1533-position model. The record is from RNAcentral.